RNAcentral lists this unclassified non-coding RNA (221 nucleotides) under Lophiostoma sp. Its description in RNAcentral is "partial internal transcribed spacer region". The stretch from base 1 to 46 matches the Rfam family "Eukaryotic small subunit ribosomal RNA", at positions 1786 to 1831 of the family's 1831-position model. The record is from RNAcentral. Lineage: Eukaryota; Fungi; Ascomycota; Dothideomycetes; Pleosporales; Lophiostomataceae.
AAGUCGUAACAAGGUUUCCGUAGGUGAACCUGCGGAAGGAUCAUUACUGUAGGGGCCUUUUGGCCCAUUACGAAACAACCCUUGUCUUUUUUGUGCACCGAUCGUUUCCUCGGCAGCUUUGCCUGCCAGCGAGGACCCCCAAAAAACCUUCUGCAAUCCUAGUAUACCGUUCUGAAAAACAAACAAUAUUAAAACUUUCAACAAUGGAUCUCUUGGCUCUG